UACAGAGGGGGCAAGCGUUAUUCGGAAUUAUUGGGCGUAAAGGGCGCGUAGGCGGCGAUUCAAGUGACGGGUGAAAUCCCUCGGCUUAACCGAGGAACUGCCUGUCAGACUGGAUUGCUUGAGGCCGGGAGAGGCGAGUGGAAUUCCCAGUGUAGCGGUGAAAUGCGUAGAUAUUGGGAGGAACACCGGCGGCGAAGGCGGCGAACUGGGACGGUACUGACGCUGAGACGCGAAAGCGUGGGGAGCAAACAGG
Molecule: ribosomal RNA, 253 nt
Filed under: uncultured bacterium
Lineage: Bacteria
Description: partial 16S ribosomal RNA
Rfam family: Bacterial small subunit ribosomal RNA
Source: RNAcentral